This 253-nucleotide ribosomal RNA is filed under the name uncultured bacterium. RNAcentral's name for it is "partial 16S ribosomal RNA". It matches the Rfam family "Bacterial small subunit ribosomal RNA", at positions 524 to 776 of the family's 1533-position model. The record is from RNAcentral.
UACGUAGGGUGCAAGCGUUGUCCGGAAUUAUUGGGCGUAAAGAGCUCGUAGGCGGUUUGUCGCGUCUGCCGUGAAAGUCCGGGGCUCAACUCCGGAUCUGCGGUGGAUACGGGCAGGCUAGAGGUAGGUAGGGGAGAAUGGAAUUCCCGGUGUAGCGGUGAAAUGCGCAGAUAUCGGGAGGAACACCGGUGGCGAAGGCGGUUCUCUGGGCCUUACCUGACGCUGAGGAGCGAAAGCGUGGGGAGCGAACAGG